ACCCAAAAAGGUAAUAACAUUAUCAUACAGUACAGGAAGAACUAUUUUUUUUCCACCAGACCAAAAACCCACAACAUAAACUUAACAAAGUUCUUCUUGAAAAGCCUUGCUAAAAACUAAACCAGCAGACUACGCAGUCACAAGAGCUUUUUUCCUAAUUACAAACCCAAAACCUCGGAGAAACGCCAAAAUAAAGUAACAACGAAAGAUCUUCAAUCCCUAUAACCC
This 228-nucleotide long non-coding RNA is filed under the name Ananas comosus (pineapple). Its description in RNAcentral is "long non-coding RNA (ACOM_LNC016353)". Lineage: Eukaryota; Viridiplantae; Streptophyta; Magnoliopsida; Poales; Bromeliaceae. The record is from RNAcentral.